RNA transcript from Bombyx mori (domestic silkworm), 2822 nucleotides. RefSeq lists it as uncharacterized. The transcript has 6 exons. The record is from RefSeq and is a predicted model, not a curated record. Lineage: Eukaryota; Metazoa; Arthropoda; Insecta; Lepidoptera; Bombycidae.
ACGGGGACAGUCUGGCACACUCAGUCUGAGUCAUUCCGAGGAUACUAACGUGAAAAAGGCUUUGACGUGACUUUAUUGAAACAGCUGGUGACAAAUACGCAGUGUUUUAUUCAUAUUUAAAUCAAAUUUUCGUUUUGUAGAAGUACGAUCUUCUUGCGACGCUUACUUUUAUUUAUUUUAAAAUAAAUCAUCAGAUUUCGUAAGUUCACUAAACUUAAUGCAGGAUUUAUUUUUUGUGACAUCUAUCGCGUUUGUGUCUUUCGCGAUUCACAGGUACCGCUAAAAGCCUAGUAUAAUUCGAAGUCUAGAAUUAUAAAUCAGUUUUAACUACUUGCUCAUUAUAUUAUGCAUUGCAACCGGGAUAUUGUAUGCGCAGAUCGGGCUGAGUUUCAACGUAUACCUCUGCGUAAUGUCGAUCAAAAGAAAACGAUGUCGUGCUCAAUGACCAUUACUAGGACGACCGUCGCGACCUCCGGCACGUCUGUUUACGUGAACACGGGCUACCUUCAGACGCUGCCAGGAUUACUCAAAUUAGCGCAAUUCCUCCUUGGGAUAGCGUGCGUGGCUCUGGUUGCCUACUACAUGGACCACGGAUAUUCAACGCAAUCAUACAAACCUGAGUUAUUCUUCUUGUUGAUAUCGGUCACAUUCCUUAUAGGAACAUUCUGUUUGUUGUUGUCGUGCUUAAUAUCCUUGGCCACCGCAACUGUUAUCUCUAAAACCAUUUAUGAAGUUAUUUAUCAUGGAAUCGCAUUUAUUCUGUAUUUGUGUGCUGGACUUACUUUGCUCAUAGAAGUUAAUCACCAAACCAGAUAUAGAAGAGAUUUUGAACCGUUUUUGGCGGCUUCGAUAAUGGGUCUGGUGAUGGCUGGAUUGUAUCUUUUGAGCACCUUUUUGGCAAACCGCAGAUACCGUGGAAUAUAAGCAAGAAAACUACCAAUUUUAAUAUGAGCUUUGUCUUCGAAUUAAGUUAUAGUAAUAGCAUUCUCAGUUGCCAUAUUACUUUAAGUUACAGAUGGAAAGCGGUUAAGUUAUUUAUCGUUCGAUUUGAAAAAACUUAAUUUCAUUGUAGCGAUCUAAGUGGACUAGCGUCUCUUUAUCGCGUACAUGGAGUGGCCACAGAAUUUUCUCUAUAAGGAGUGCUAACAAAUAUAUAAUGUCCCGUUAUCUCUGGAGGGCGAAGUUACUCAUAUCACUUUUUACCACGUAUGCUCAUAAAAAGCGAAGAUGAAAAAUAUUUUUUUCGACAGUUGUGAUUCAACAGUUUCCGGUUUAUUUAUCGUUGUGUUUUUAAUUUAUGACUAAGCAGACACUAUUUUACGUGAUAUAUUGAGCAAUGCAAGUAUUGUUUCUUCCAUCUAUCCAUCAUAAUUUCUUCUUUCUAUCCAUCCAUCCAGCUCGUUUUGUAUUCUAUUUCGUCAUGAGCCCUUCUAAUAACUGUAACUACCUUACCGUAUGGUAUUCCAUAUACAAUUUAAAUCGUAAUAUCGUACCUUCGGCGAACCAUGCCGGCUAUCUUCAUUUUACAUUAGUUUUCACAAAUGGACUACAGCACUCGCCUAUAGCACUGAAAAAAAAAAGAAUUGAAGUAAAUAAAAAAAAUCAAGUCAAACAGUUUUAUUCGUAUAUUUAUAUAUUUUUAAGUUACUACUACAAACUUAGCCUAGCAUAGAAUAUAAAUUCUUAUUUAUAUUAUGAGAGUACUUAGAAGUUUAAUCGGUUACUGCGUUGUGGUUCUUUUAUACCUUGUACUGAUCUGAUAUUAACAAUAAAUCUAUAUCAAUUUCAGAGAGUUGAAAUAGGACAUUUUUUUAAUUUUUAUUAAUUGUAAAUGAAUAUUUUGUUAGAAGAUAUACUUACUAUCUACUAUGUACUAUCUACGCCCAUAGUAAGUAACGUAACAUUUUAAUUUUAGUUUGUUUUCUUGGUUAAAUAUUAUAUUAUAUUGUAAUUUUUGAUUAGUAAACUAUGUAUGAACUAGUCAUUAAACAAAAAAAUAUUGUUAUGCUGUUAGUACUUUUAUAACUUAACAUUCGGAGAUGAAAUGUAAUUAAGUAUUUACUUAUUUUGUUUAAAUUCAUAGAAGCUAACUUUUGCUUCCGAUGUUUUAUUACUUAUUAAUUAUUUAAUUAUAGAUUUCUACAGUAAAUUUAUAUCUCUCAUAUUAUAAGUAAAUAAAAGGAACUAUGAAACUGUCGAACCUUUAUAUUUACUUAAAACUCAAAAUAAAGUAGAAACAUAAAAUAUUGUUAAUUUUUUUUUUUUGUUUUAAACGGUUUGGCGCGAAAAAAUGAGAUGUACUUAAGGUCGUUCGUAUUUUUUUAUAGGCGAUAAAAUAGUGUUAUUAUUAUAAAUUGCUUUAAUAGGCAGAUGAGCAUACGAUCCACCUGAUGGUGAGUGGUGACUGAUGCGCCCGGUCUUGGUGUCUCGGGUGCAUUACAAAACAAUUUUUAUAACGUUAACUUUUUGCAAGAAAAGGUGUUGAUGGAACAAAGCAUAUAUUCUGCUCUCAACUAAUUCCUUUUUUUUACCUUCCUAUAUAAUUUAAUAUUCAUUUAUUACAAAUUUUUCAAUUAAAAAUUAAUCGAUUAAUCGAUUAAUAUUAUUUAUCUUGAAACAGCAUGUGUUAAGACUUUAAAUUAAUUCGCAAGAUGUAAAUGAUAAAAAAGUGAUUAAUUUACUUAAUUAAUUUCUUCAUUAGGAAAAGAGCUGUAACAUUUACACAGUAGCUUCAAUUUUCUUCUAGUAGAUGACAUUAAUACUUAUUAAAAUGCUAAAAAAUGUAAUGGUGCUGUAAUAAAUGUUUUUACUUUUGUAAUGAA